UAAGGAAUCUUCCACAAUGGGCGAAAGCCUGAUGGAGCAACGCCGCGUGCAGGAUGAAGGCCUUCGGGUCGUAAACUGCUUUUAUUAGUGAAGAAUAUGACGGUAACUAAUGAAUAAGGGUCGGCUAACUACGUGCCAGCAGCCGCGGUCAUACGUAGGACCCGAGCGUUAUCCGGAGUGACUGGGCGUAAAGAGUUGCGUAGGCGGUCCGUAAAGCGAAUAGUGAAAGCUGAUGGCUCAACCAUCAAUCCAUUAUUCGAACUCACGGACUCGAGAAUAGUAGAGGUACCUGGAAUUCCCUGUGUAGGAGUGAAAUCCGUAGAUAUAGGGAGGAACACCAAUGGCGUAGGCAGGGUACUGGACUAUUUCUGACGCUGAGGCACGAAAGCGUGGGGAGCGAACCGGAUUAGAUACCCGCGUAGUCC
RNAcentral lists this ribosomal RNA (425 nucleotides) under uncultured bacterium. Its description in RNAcentral is "bacterial SSU rRNA". It matches the Rfam family "Bacterial small subunit ribosomal RNA", at positions 355 to 796 of the family's 1533-position model. The record is from RNAcentral.